Oreochromis aureus is the source of this 894-nucleotide long non-coding RNA. NCBI's taxonomy places the organism in Eukaryota, Metazoa, Chordata, Actinopteri, Cichliformes, Cichlidae. The record is from Ensembl.
GGUAUGUACGGUGGCCCUGAGAGGCCAAACGGACUGCAACUUCAGAAAACACUUGCAAAAAGAAAAAUGCUGCAAAAAGGAAAACGCUGCAAACACAAAAACGCUGCACUGCAACUUCAAGAAAAACGCUGCACUGCAAGAGAGGCCAAACGGACUGCAACUUCAGAAAACACUUGCAAAAAGAAAAAUGCUGCAAAAAGGAAAACGCUGCAAAAACAAAAACGCUGCACUGCAACUUCAAGACAAACGCUGCACUGCAACUUCAGAAAACACCUGCAAAAAGAAAAAUGCUGCAAAAAGAAAAACGCUGCAAAAAGAAAAAAUGCUGCAAAAAGAAAAAAUGCUGCAAAAAGAAAAACGCUGCAAAAGCACACAAAGCACAACGGAAAUAGGAAAAGACACAACGGAAAUAGGAAAAGACACAACGGAAAUAGGAAAAGACACAACGGAAAUGUUCCUGGGGAGACAAUAACCCGACGGACCAUUUGCACGAACCAAAACAUGCUAGCCAGUGCGCUGGGACUGCGAGACACUUCAAAGAAGUGGAGGAGAGGUUAAGAUGUAUUGUCCAUUCUGUGGAUUCCAGUUUGAGAACUUGACAAAAUUUUGCUGUUCCUGUGGAAAAGACAUAAGUUUUGUACCAGCUAAAGAUGCUUCCACAGAACAAGAACACUCAAGAGCCAAGACAGUUGUUCAGCAGUUCUUCAAGUACCGUGAAGGUAAAGAGGCAGAAAGGAGGAUGUUCUCAAAAUCCAAAAAGAAAUCAAUGAAAACAGUGAAGAUUUCUGUUGGGAUCAUGAACAAACAAAAGACUGGCAUGAGACCCAUAAGAGGGAAAUCACUACCAUUACAUGUUGACCCAAGCUGGUCAUCUGAGAGGCUGUUGGGUGCUGC